GUUUAUUUUUAUCCCCACUGCCAGCGUCAUCACAGCGUGUGUGAUCCAAAUUUACACUCCUCAUAUACACAGCAUGUGGCCCUGCUGCCGAACCAGCUGCUUUCCCCAAGGCUGAAGUAUGGUUAAGUUUCAUGUUUUGCCUCAUCAAAAAGGUGAUAGCAAAAACAUAUGAGUGAAACCUACACUCCCGGUAGCUUACUAAACAAAUUUGAAAUGUGUUCCAAACGUGUGAUUUGUUGUUCGGUGGGAGCCCGGGACUGAGAAUGUGUGUGUGUGGACGUGUGUGGAUGUGUCAUAGCUGUUGCAGACACACUGACGACUCUAAAUAUGCUCUCCCUCCUUACUAAUAGCAGAAACUGGCCUUCUGGGGCAGCAAUGCGUUCGGCUCAAAGAUCAAGUUUCCCUUAAGGUAGGUGUGGCCGUGUGAGCAGGUUCUGACUGACUGGACUGGGUCAGAGUAUUCUGUGGGACUUCCAGGAAGCCUUCUGAAAAGGGAGGGAGGACACUUGCUCUUGCCAUCUCCCUGCUGGCUGGGAAGCUGAUAAGAGUCUAGCGCCCCAAUUAGCCAUCCUGGAUGCCGAGGUGACCUUGAAGACAGAGCUGAGAACUGAGAUGUGGAGCAGGAAGAGAGGAGGUGCCUCAGUCCCUGAAGAUUUUGCUGAGUUGUCACACCAGCCCUGACCUGCCUCCUCUGGUUUUUCCUUAUUGAGAGAAACCACCUUUGUGUUUGGGUCAUUAUUUUUGGUGUCUCUGUCACGAGUAGCCACGUGCAAUUUCUAACUGAUAUCGUAUCAACCUGAGGUUUAACAUUUACAAGGCCUGAUUCAAUGGCUGAGUAAGCACAGAGUCUGUGUGCAAAAGGCUAUCUGUUAAUGUCCCUUGGGGAAUUAUUUCAGUUACCAAUCAUCUCCGAGUUCAUACUUUAAUGUAAGAAUACUCAUUUUAAUUCCUCUUUGUGUUGGAAUGAUAAGGUCUCUAGAAAAGUAUUGACUGAGCUUGGUUGUCCUACUUGACAUUCAGUCUAUGCAACGUGAAUGUGUUACGUUUCUUUAUUCAUUUGGGAAAUAUUUACUCAGUACAUGUUACGUGCAAGGCACAGCUUCAGAUAUUGGUGAUGGUCCAGGGGUGGUUACAUAAAGAAAAAUGAGAGGAAGACUCUGACUUCGAACUGACUAGGAAAGGAGAGAAUUAAUAAAUAGUAAUAACAGCCAAUGUUUGCUGAGCACUGUCAGCUGUGCUAUUUCACAUAUAUUAUCUCAUUUAAUAUUGACAGCAAUCUUUUGAUCUAUGCAGGUUCUAUUAUUUUUCUCAUUAUACAGGCAAGGAUCUAAAGGUACAAGGACAUUUGGUAACUUGUACAAAGUCAUCAUGAGUGAUGAAACUGGAAUUUGCAAACAGUAUUUGUGUGCUCUUAAUCUCUAUGCAAUCUCUAUGCAAUGAGCCCAUUUUAUGUGCAAGGCUCUACAUCAUGUUGUAGGGCAGCCAGUCUCAAUCGUGGUCCUGGGUCCAGCAGCUGCAGUGUCACCUGGGAAAUCCUAGAAAUGCAAAUCACUGGCUUUCCCACAGACCUGCUGCAUCAGAAACUCUGGGAAGGGGCCCAGCAAUCUGGGUUUUCAGAAGACUUCCAGGUGAUUCUGAUGCCUGCUGAAGUUUGAGAACCACCGUGGUAGGGGAUGAAUAGAUAAGUGAGACUCAUUUAAGUUUGGAAGAGGAUCAAGCAGGUAUAAAAAUAACUAUAACUCAAGGCAGAUAAGAUAACAUGCAGAAAGGAGGACUAGCGUCCUACUGAGUUUGAGUUUGCUACCAGAUUUUCUAAUUUUUCAAGAGAAGCUGGAAUCCAGAUUUUAAUGGCAAGUCUCUCAACUUUACAAAUUGGAACCAAAAUAAUGUUUUAAAAGAAAUAAACAGGCAAAAUAAAACCUGUCUGCAAAGCGGGCAGCAGCCUUUGAGCCCUACUGAGGGCAGUGGAGCUGCUUGGGGGCUUUCAGUAGUCCGCCCAGAGCAGCCCGGGAGUUAACUGAAAGGCACUGGGGGAACUGGACUAGAGUAGUAAGAGCCUAGCUCACUGUAUUAGUCUGCGAGGGCUGCAAAGUACCACAACCAGAGGGACUUAAUCAACAGAAAUUGAUCUUUUCACAGUUUUGGAGGAGAGAAACAUAAAAUCAAGGUGUGGGCAGGCUUAGUUUCUCCUGAGGGCUCUGAGGGAGAAUCUGUUCUUUGCUGUCUUAGAUUCUAGUAGCCCCAGGCAUUCCUUGGUUUGUAGUUGCAAACUAACUCUCCAUCUUCAAAUGGCUGCCUUCUUCUAAGGACACCAGUCAUAUUGGAUAGGAGCCCAGUCUACUCCCAGUACAGCCUCAUCUUAACUAAUUACAUCGAUGACUCUAUUUCUAAGUAAGGUCACAUAUUGAGAUAGUGGGGUUAGGAUUUCAACAUGUAUCUUUGGGGUGGGGGUGUGUGACACAAUUAAAUCCAUAACAUUCACUUUUAGGUAGCAUAAUUCAAUAGUUAAGCUCUUUGUUUUCUUCAUAAGUGGAGGCUAAUUCCUUAAUUUUUUCAUUAUCCCUUUCUAUGGGAAUAGUUAACAGGAUAUGACACACCUUAAUGAAAUGUUGUAGUCGAUGUGUAGAUAUUCAAAUUCUUUAAAGUCAAUUGAAAUAUCAACAAACUAAGACAUGGAGCUAGUGGUAAAGCAAAUGACCUUGCCUUAUGUGAAGCAGAACACACAAAACAGAGCUCAUUUAGAAGAUACUUGAGAUACUUGUGAUUUUUGAGCACUUUGAUGAAGAAAGGCUACUUUGAUAGAAACCCAAAUAUUCUUUUUGGCUUAAGGUGAGGCCAUAGCCCAAUGAUUUUAAAGGGCCCCAAUCAACACUUUCAGUAUUUGAUUAGGGUCUGGCUAGACACUGAAAUGUGGUGAGUUUUAGAUAUGGGAUGAUAAAUCUAGAAAAAUUUAGGGGCAUACAGGCAAGAAAGGUUCUACUUCUCUAUGUGAUUUGUACCCCAAAUCUAAUAGGCAAGUCUGACACAAAGAUCAAAAGACAAGCUCAUAUGUUCUGAGAAGUUCCUCACUCCUCAAAAGCUAGAAAUUUUUUUUUAAUUCUAAUUUUACCUUACUUUAAGGCACAAUCUCCAAUUGCAUACUUUUAGAUUUUUGCAGAUUUUUUCCUUGUCUUUUGUGUGCACCUGCAAGCAUAUGUUUUAUAUAAUUGAAUCCAAAGUGAACCAGCUUAAAACUAAUGUUUGAAUUGACAUUAAUGAUUUACUCCUUUUGGCUUUCUGAGGAUUUCUAUUCCUCCUUUGAUUGUAUUAAAUUUUUUAGCACUACCCACACUUUCAUUUUUUUCAUUUUCUAAUAUUUUUGUUUAAAAUAACAUAGGCAAAAAGCAUAAGAAAGGUUUAGUUUCACCUCCCUCCCUGCUUUUUUUUUUUUUUUUGGCUGAAGAAUCGUUGUUCUAAUUAAUCCAAAAAGGGGUUGAGGAGAUACUUUCUAGGGACUCCACCUGGGACCAUCAUUUGAAAAUCACUCCAAUGAAAUAUUUGCAGAAAGAAAUGCUGAAGUCCUAAUAAAAUGGUUAUGUUGCCAAUUGUUGGCUGAAAGAGCAGCAUGGUGUUGUAGCUUGAGCUAUCACUUACACUGGGGGAAGCAAGCCCUCUUGUGAGCAAUCUCAUGCAGAGGCCCACAUGGUAAGGAAAUAAAGCUUCUAACUAACAUCAGCAAGGAACCAAGACCUGUCAAACACCAUGUGCAUGUACUUGAAAUGGAUCUUGACCUUUCAGGUGACUGCAGCCCUGGCUGACAGCUUGACUGUAAUUUCAAGAGCAACUCUGGGCCAGAACACCAGGUCUCAUUUUUUUUUCAAAGCAUCAAUGUGCCCAGAAUAAAGACAAAACCAACGAACUAACCAAGCAAACCAACUAAACAGAAGUUACCCAAAAAGAAAGGUGAGACUCAAUUUACAGAAUCACCUUGGCCCUUGGCUCCUGAAACACAACAUAAAACAAAAUGCUUUUUAAAGUUGUAUUUCAGACCCAUACUUAAAACAACAACAAACAUUUUAAAUUCCUUCUCUGGGGUGCUUCAAGUGAUGAGGAAAUCAUCAGAAACUAUUUCAACAGUUUGACCCUUCUCGUCCCCACCCCAGGAACCAGACUGCUGGACUUGGCUGAGGAUAAAUGGAACUUGAGUUUCAAAACCUUCCUACCAGAUAAAGUUUCAAAUUUGUUGCCUUUGAAGACUGUGAAGAUGUGAAAUGUAGCAAACUGAAUCGAACAUUUACCAACAGUUGUUUGGAGAAUUCUCUCACCUUCUUGGGCAAGAAACUGUUUACAGCCAUGACUGUAAGAGCCCUCCUUUUUAUUCUUCUCAGUAACUGGGGCUGCCUGGUAUCUGAAGCUCUCUUAUCUACCCAGACAUUCUUUGAUCCACCCACCUUAAACAGAACAGGAAAAAGGUUUUGUUUUGAUUUUGUUUUUAAUCAUUGUCAUGCUUUAAAUGGAAAAAUGUUAGGUUGGGUAUUAGACUACACAAAUUAAAAACAUCUAAAAACAACACCUCAGAAUGUGUUGUUUAUAAUCUAAUGUAGAAAUGAAUAAAAAGUGAAUUCAAUCUUGGGUU
Molecule: non-coding RNA, 4615 nt
Organism: Vicugna pacos (alpaca)
Lineage: Eukaryota; Metazoa; Chordata; Mammalia; Artiodactyla; Camelidae
Source: RefSeq, a predicted model, not a curated record